AGAGUUUGAUCCUGGCUCAGGAUGAACGCUAGCGGCAGGCCUAAUACAUGCAAGUCGAACGGAUAUGAGGACUUCGGUUCUCAUGUUAGUGGCGCACGGGUGCGUAACGCGUAUGCAACCUACCUUUUACUGGGGGAUAGCCCGUCGAAAGACGGAUUAAUACCGCAUAACACUAUUUGAGGGCAUCUGAGGAUAGUGAAAGAUUUAUUGGUAAAAGAUGGGCAUGCGUGCCAUUAGCUAGUUGGUUGAGGUAACGGCUCACCAAGGCGACGAUGGCUAGGGGUUCUGAGAGGAUGAUCCCCCACACUGGUACUGAGAUACGGACCAGACUCCUACGGGAGGCAGCAGUAGGGAAUAUUGGGCAAUGGCGGAAACGCUGACCCAGCCAUGCCGCGUGCAGGAUGAAGGCCUUCUGGGUUGUAAACUGCUUUUAUCUAGGAAGAAACUACCCUUGCGAGGGGAACUGACGGUACUAGGUGAAUAAGCACCGGCUAACUCCGUGCCAGCAGCCGCGGUAAUACGGAGGGUGCAAGCGUUAUCCGGAUUCACUGGGUUUAAAGGGUGCGUAGGAGGGCAGGUAAGUCCGUGGUGAAAUCUCUGAGCUUAACUCAGAAACUGCCGUGGAUACUAUCUGUCUUGAAUCCCGUGGAGAUGAGCGGAAUAUGUCAUGUAGCGGUGAAAUGCUUAGAUAUGACAUAGAACACCAAUUGCGAAGGCAGCUCGUUACACGAAGAUUGACUCUGAGGCACGAAAGCGUGGGGAUCAAACAGGAUUAGAUACCCCAGUAGUCC
This 791-nucleotide ribosomal RNA is filed under the name uncultured bacterium. Its description in RNAcentral is "bacterial SSU rRNA". It matches the Rfam family "Bacterial small subunit ribosomal RNA", at positions 8 to 796 of the family's 1533-position model. The record is from RNAcentral.